GCAGCAGCCUGAGCUGGGAAGCAGGGUUCACAGGCUCUUUAUUUAACCUCUGCUAUUACCACCUCUCGUCUCUUCUGUGGAGGUGGUCCGCUACAGUUUUGGAAAUAGUACAUUCACUCCAGCCCCUUCCCAAAAGAAAUGUUCAGGCACUAAAUCCUACAGAAGCCCACACCUGCCUGGCCGUGAGGAGCGUAAGACUGCUGCUAAAAUAUUUGUGUAGGAAUCCACCACACCGUGGAGCGAAGCACGCGCUGUAGGCCAGUCUAGCUGCGUUUUGCCUCUUUGGAAGUAAAUGAAGCAUAUGCCUGCUACAGCUUAAAAACACCUUAAAAAAAACACAAAA
Long non-coding RNA from Peromyscus eremicus (cactus mouse), 343 nucleotides. RefSeq lists it as uncharacterized. Lineage: Eukaryota; Metazoa; Chordata; Mammalia; Rodentia; Cricetidae. The record is from RefSeq and is a predicted model, not a curated record. The transcript has 2 exons.